UACGGGGGGAGCAAGCGUUGUUCGGAUUUACUGGGCGUAAAGGGCGCGUAGGCGGUCGUGACAAGUCACUUGUGAAAUCUCCGGGCUUAACUCGGAACGGUCAGGUGAUACUGUCGGACUAGAGUACAGAAGGGGCAACUGGAAUUCUCGGUGUAGCGGUGAAAUGCGUAGAUAUCGAGAGGAACACCUGCGGCGAAGGCGGGUUGCUGGGCUGAUACUGACGCUGAGGCGCGAAAGCCAGGGGAGCGAACGGG
RNAcentral lists this ribosomal RNA (254 nucleotides) under uncultured bacterium. RNAcentral describes it as "partial 16S ribosomal RNA". It matches the Rfam family "Bacterial small subunit ribosomal RNA", at positions 524 to 776 of the family's 1533-position model. The record is from RNAcentral.